UACGGGGGGAGCAAGCGUUGUUCGGAUUUACUGGGCGUAAAGGGCGCGUAGGCGGUCAGCACAAGUCAGUUGUGAAAUCUCCGGGCUUAACCCGGAAAGGUCAACUGAUACUGUGCGACUAGAGUGCGGAAGGGGCAACUGGAAUUCUCGGUGUAGCGGUGAAAUGCGUAGAUAUCGAGAGGAACACCUGCGGCGAAGGCGGGUUGCUGGGCUGAUACUGACGCUGAGGCGCGAAAGCCAGGGGAGCAAACGGG
RNAcentral lists this ribosomal RNA (254 nucleotides) under uncultured bacterium. Its description in RNAcentral is "partial 16S ribosomal RNA". It matches the Rfam family "Bacterial small subunit ribosomal RNA", at positions 524 to 776 of the family's 1533-position model. The record is from RNAcentral.